AUCCAGUUGACGAGUCUUAAAUGGGACGAAAUGCACGUCCUGGAU
Non-coding RNA from Schistosoma mattheei, 45 nucleotides. The record is from Rfam. NCBI's taxonomy places the organism in Eukaryota, Metazoa, Platyhelminthes, Trematoda, Strigeidida, Schistosomatidae.